AUGCAUUGGGAGCAGAGACAUACAUUAUCAUUUUUACAUUAUCAUACAUCAUCAUCAAGAAUCUUUAAAUGAUUCUUGCUACUGAUUCUGAGAACAAUGCCUGGAACCUGAUCCCUCCAUUGUGGGAUGAAAAAUUAUAGUAGCUCUGAAUGACAUCGUCCUCCUCCAAUGACAGUGGCAUUUUCAGUUUCAUGGAAAACAUGCAAUAACUUUGGACCUCAGUUUCUUCAUCCGUGAAUGGUCCUAAUGUUCAAUCUGACUAAAGCAAAGACUGGACAUGAAUAACCAAUUUUCAAAAACUUGAAAUCAUCCAGCACCUACCUGUCAGGGAAGACAGAAGCAGCUACCUUGAUUACCAUCUCAGCAUACCUAUCUACGCAUGCACUGAGUCUUGAUGCAUGAAGAAGAGCACUUCAAGGUCAUAUUCUUGAACUCCCUCCAGCUUAUUCUCAUAAGAAGAAACAACAAUGCUUCCUCUCUUACAAGAAAGCUUUUUCAGAGAGAGAUGCUUAACUUUUGGAGAGGAGGUUGCAAUUUCUCUAAGCAGCUGAAGACUUCUUUGAGUUUCGAAGGCUGGUCUCAGAUUCUGAAUAACGCCAAAGCCUUCUGGUACCUCAAAUGUCUAAGAAACAGAAAAGUGGAAAGUCAGAGGCAAGGAGUUUCUGCCACAGGAGAGCUUGGGUCUACUGCUCAUUCUAAGACAAACCUGGGUUUUACAAGACGGAGAGAAUCUUUGGUCCAAGGAUAUUCGCUUCAAGGAUAA
RNAcentral lists this long non-coding RNA (763 nucleotides) under Ictidomys tridecemlineatus (thirteen-lined ground squirrel). RNAcentral's name for it is "lncRNA (ENSSTOG00000033583.1)". The record is from RNAcentral. Lineage: Eukaryota; Metazoa; Chordata; Mammalia; Rodentia; Sciuridae.